RNAcentral lists this ribosomal RNA (504 nucleotides) under uncultured bacterium. RNAcentral's name for it is "bacterial SSU rRNA". It matches the Rfam family "Bacterial small subunit ribosomal RNA", at positions 791 to 1301 of the family's 1533-position model. The record is from RNAcentral.
UAGUCCACGCCGUAAACGAUGGAUACUAACUGUUCGGAUUUCGAUCUGAGUGGUUAAGCGAAAGUGAUAAGUAUCCCACCUGGGGAGUACGUUCGCAAGAAUGAAACUCAAAGGAAUUGACGGGGGCCCGCACAAGCGGUGGAGCAUGUGGUUUAAUUCGAUGAUACGCGAGGAACCUUACCAGGGCUUAAAUGUAUAUUGACGUAUUUGGAAACAGAUAUUUCUUCGGACAAUAUACAAGGUGCUGCAUGGUUGUCGUCAGCUCGUGCCGUGAGGUGUCAGGUUAAGUCCUAUAACGAGCGCAACCCCUAUUGUUAGUUACCAGCAUGUAAAGAUGGGGACUCUAACAAGACUGCCGGUGCAAACCGAGAGGAAGGUGGGGAUGACGUCAAAUCAUCACGGCCCUUACGUCCUGGGCUACACACGUGCUACAAUGGUAGGUACAGAGAGCAGCCACUGCGUGAGCAGGAGCGAAUCUAUAAAACCUAUCUCAGUUCGGAUCGG